Molecule: ribosomal RNA, 484 nt
Filed under: uncultured bacterium
Lineage: Bacteria
Description: partial 16S ribosomal RNA
Rfam family: Bacterial small subunit ribosomal RNA
Source: RNAcentral
GACGAACGCUGGCGGCGUGCUUAACACAUGCAAGUCGAACGAUGAAGCCGGAGCUUGCUCUGGUGAAUUAGUGGCGAACGGGUGAGUAACACGUGAGUAACCUGCCCUUGACUCUGGGAUAACUGCGGGAAACUGUAGCUAAUACCGGGUACGACCCUCGGAGGCAUCUCCUGGGGGUGGAAAGAAUUUCGGUCAAGGAUGGACUCGCGGCCUAUCAGCUAGUUGGUGAGGUAAAGGCUCACCAAGGCGACGACGGGUAGCCGGCCUGAGAGGGUGACCGGCCACACUGGGACUGAGACACGGCCCAGACUCCUACGGGAGGCAGCAGUGGGGAAUAUUGCACAAUGGGCGCAAGCCUGAUGCAGCAACGCCGCGUGAGGGAUGACGGCCUUCGGGUUGUAAACCUCUUUUAGCAGGGAGGAAGCGAAAGUGACGGUACCUGCAGAAAAAGCACCGGCUAACUACGUGCCAGCCGCCGCGGUAA